This 443-nucleotide ribosomal RNA is filed under the name uncultured bacterium. RNAcentral's name for it is "partial 16S ribosomal RNA". It matches the Rfam family "Bacterial small subunit ribosomal RNA", at positions 338 to 795 of the family's 1533-position model. The record is from RNAcentral.
CCUACGGGAGGCAGCAGUGGGGAAUAUUGGGCAAUGGGCGCAAGCCUGACCCAGCAACGCCGCGUGAAGGAAGAAGGCUUUCGGGUUGUAAACUUCUUUUCUCAGGGACGAAGCAAGUGACGGUACCUGAGGAAUAAGCCACGGCUAACUACGUGCCAGCAGCCGCGGUAAUACGUAGGUGGCAAGCGUUAUCCGGAUUUACUGGGUGUAAAGGGCGUGUAGGCGGGGACGCAAGUCAGAUGUGAAAACCACGGGCUCAACCUGUGGCCUGCAUUUGAAACUGUGUUUCUUGAGUGCUGGAGAGGCAAUCGGAAUUCCGGGUGUAGCGGUGAAAUGCGUAGAUAUACGGAGGAACACCAGUGGCGAAGGCGGAUUGCUGGACAGUAACUGACGCUGAGGCGCGAAAGCGUGGGGAGCAAACAGGAUUAGAUACCCGUGUAGUC